AUACGGAGGAUCCGAGCGUUAUCCGGAUUUAUUGGGUUUAAAGGGUGCGCAGGCGGCAAUUUAAGUCAGCGGUUAAAUCGUGGGGCUCAACCCCAUUCUGCCGAUGAUACUGGGUGGCUUGAUUGCGGUCGAGGUUGGCGGAAUUCGUUGUGUAGCGGUGAAAUGCAUAGAUAUGACGAAGAACACCGCUUGCGUAGUGAGCUGACCAGACCGCAAAUGACGCUCAUGCACGAAAGUGCUGGGAUCGAACAGGAUUAGAUGCCCUGGUAGUCCGCACAGUAAACGAUGAAUACUUGUUUUCGGCGAUAUAAUGUCGGAGGCAAAGCGAAAGCGAUAAGUAUUCCACCUGGGGAGUACGCCGGCACCGGUGAAACUCAAAUGAAUUGGCGGGG
RNAcentral lists this ribosomal RNA (392 nucleotides) under uncultured bacterium. RNAcentral describes it as "partial 16S ribosomal RNA". It matches the Rfam family "Bacterial small subunit ribosomal RNA", at positions 523 to 918 of the family's 1533-position model. The record is from RNAcentral.